RNAcentral lists this small RNA (26 nucleotides) under Bombyx mori (domestic silkworm). RNAcentral's name for it is "ovarian small RNA-11466". Lineage: Eukaryota; Metazoa; Arthropoda; Insecta; Lepidoptera; Bombycidae. The record is from RNAcentral.
ACGCAGAUGUCCCUCGAUGUGUCCGU